RNAcentral lists this unclassified non-coding RNA (301 nucleotides) under Hevea brasiliensis (rubber tree). The record is from RNAcentral. Lineage: Eukaryota; Viridiplantae; Streptophyta; Magnoliopsida; Malpighiales; Euphorbiaceae.
GAGAGGGGCUAAGGCAUGCAUGUGAAGCAAUUAUCAGUGUUUGCCCUUUUCUAAUAAUUGUAAAUAUUAAAAAGCAAGAGUGUCAGUUUUCAAGGAUAUAGGAACAUUCCAUCAUGACAAUUAAGAGAGACCCUUUAGAAUGAAACUCAAAUCCAAAUCUAUGCAAAUCCCACUUUCACAUUAAAGCCAUUUUUAUUUCUUCACGGGAAAGUGGUGGUGGUGGUGCAUUCAUGGAAUCUUAUAAAAGAUCAAGCUGAAAAGCACCCAAUACCUUCUUAAAAAAAAAAAAAAGACCUUCUUG